UACGGAAGGCAGCAGUGGGGAAUAUUGCACAAUGGGCGAAAGCCUGAUGCAGCUAUGCCGCGUGUAUGAAGAAGGCCUUAGGGUUGUAAAGUACUUUCAUCGGGGAGGAAAAAACAAAACUAAUAAUUUUAUUUCUUGACGUUACCCGAAAAAGAAGCACCGGCUAACUCCGUGCCAGCAGCCGCGGUAAUACGGAGGGUGCUAGCGUUAAUCAGAAUUACUGGGCGUAAAGAGCACGUAGGUGGUUUUUUUAAAGUCAGAUGUGAAAUCCCUGGGCUUAACCUGGAACUGCAUUUUGAAACUGAAAUACUAGAGUAUCGUAGAGGGAGGUAGAAUUCUAGGUGUAGCGGUGAAAUGCGUAGAUAUCUGGAGGAAUACCUGUGGCGAAAGCGGCCUCCUAAACGAAUACUGACACUGAGGUGCGAAAGCGUGGGGAGCGAAACAGGGAUUAGAUA
Molecule: ribosomal RNA, 455 nt
Filed under: uncultured bacterium
Lineage: Bacteria
Description: bacterial SSU rRNA
Rfam family: Bacterial small subunit ribosomal RNA
Source: RNAcentral